UGGCGCCGCGAUUUUUCUGGUGCAAAUAACUCACCCGCGUGCGCGUCUCCCCGCCUUCCCCGUCUAGGUGCGCUGUACCUGGGAAGAUAAACUCCCGAUCAAUUUAAUCCCCUUGCACAUCAGGCCAUCAUUCUUCAACCUCCACGCCACGACCCGGGCACUGAUCCCUCCCAAACCUCCCAAGCCGAGCGCUGCUGUUUCCACUCACCGGAGAUCCGACGACCGCGGACGUUUCAAGGACGAGUUCGACCGCUAGGAUCUCGUCCUGGAUCACACAUCGUCCACCACUUCAUCAACUCCAGAAGCGCCAGAACGAUGACAAGAUCAGCGCACGGUUGGUGCGAAGAGCGAUGUGUUUUGUUGAGAGAAGUGAACGAUCUUCAAUUACCAAAAAGGCAAGU
Molecule: long non-coding RNA, 401 nt
Organism: Lolium perenne
Lineage: Eukaryota; Viridiplantae; Streptophyta; Magnoliopsida; Poales; Poaceae
Source: RefSeq, a predicted model, not a curated record